CGAACGGCAGCACAGAGGAACUUGCUCCUUGGGUGGCGAGUGGCGGACGGGUGAGGAAUACAUCGGAAUCUACUCUGUCGUGGGGGAUAACGUAGGGAAACUUACGCUAAUACCGCAUACGACCUACGGGUGAAAGCAGGGGAUCUUCGGACCUUGCGCGAUUGAAUGAGCCGAUGUCGGAUUAGCUAGUUGGCGGGGUAAAGGCCCACCAAGGCGACAAUCCGUAGCUGGUCUGAGAGGAUGAUCAGCCACACUGGAACUGAGACACGGUCCAGACUCCUACGGGAGGCA
Molecule: ribosomal RNA, 291 nt
Filed under: Stenotrophomonas maltophilia
Lineage: Bacteria; Pseudomonadati; Pseudomonadota; Gammaproteobacteria; Lysobacterales; Lysobacteraceae
Description: partial 16S ribosomal RNA
Rfam family: Bacterial small subunit ribosomal RNA
Source: RNAcentral